UUAACUCAAAUUUGUAGGGUGUUUGAACGUUUGCCUACGUUUUCCGCUAGGGGCGCUGUUCCAACUGCAUACAAAUUUGAGUUA
Bombyx mori (domestic silkworm) is the source of this 84-nucleotide non-coding RNA. Lineage: Eukaryota; Metazoa; Arthropoda; Insecta; Lepidoptera; Bombycidae. The record is from Rfam.